RNAcentral lists this ribosomal RNA (522 nucleotides) under Arthrobotrys thaumasius. Its description in RNAcentral is "SSU rRNA". It matches the Rfam family "Eukaryotic small subunit ribosomal RNA", at positions 68 to 577 of the family's 1831-position model. Lineage: Eukaryota; Fungi; Ascomycota; Orbiliomycetes; Orbiliales; Orbiliaceae. The record is from RNAcentral.
UAUUUUUGGUUGGCUGUCAGGAACUAUACAGUGAAACUGCGAAUGGCUCAUUAAAUCAGUUAUCGUUUAUUUGAUAGUACUUUACUACUUGGAUAACCGUGGUAAUUCUAGAGCUAAUACAUGCUAAAAAUCCCGACCUCCGGAAGGGAUGUAUUUAUUAGAUAAAAAACCAAUGCCUUCGGGCUCCUUGGUGAUUCAUGAUAACUUAACGAAUCGCAUGGCCUUGCGCCGGCGAUGGUUCAUUCAAAUUUCUGCCCUAUCAACUUUCGAUGGUAGGAUAGUGGCCUACCAUGGUUUCAACGGGUAACGGGGAAUUAGGGUUCGAUUCCGGAGAGGGAGCCUGAGAAACGGCUACCACAUCCAAGGAAGGCAGCAGGCGCGCAAAUUACCCAAUCCCAAUUCGGGGAGGUAGUGACAAUAAAUACUGAUACAGGGCUCUUUUGGGUCUUGUAAUUGGAAUGAGUACAAUUUAAAUCCCUUAACGAGGAACAAUUGGAGGGCAAGUCUGGUCCCAGCAGCCAA